AUUGAACGCUGGCGGCAGGCCUAACACAUGCAAGUCGAACGGUAACAGGAAACAGCUUGCUGUUUCGCUGACGAGUGGCGGACGGGUGAGUAAUGUCUGGGAAACUGCCUGAUGGAGGGGGAUAACUACUGGAAACGGUAGCUAAUACCGCAUAACGUCGCAAGACCAAAGAGGGGGACCUUCGGGCCGCUUGCCAUCGGAUGUGCCCAGAUGGGAUUAGCUAGUAGGUGGGGUAACGGCUCACCUAGGCGACGAUCCCUAGCUGGUCUGAGAGGAUGACCAGCCACACUGGAACUGAGACACGGUCCAGACUCCUACGGGAGGCAGCAGUGGGGAAUAUUGCACAAUGGGCGCAAGCCUGAUGCAGCCAUGCCGCGUGUAUGAAGAAGGCCUUCGGGUUGUAAAGUACUUUCAGCGGGGAGGAAGGGAGUAAAGUUAAUACCUUUACUCAUUGACGUUACCCGCAGAAGAAGCACCGGCUAACUCCGUG
Molecule: ribosomal RNA, 490 nt
Filed under: uncultured bacterium
Lineage: Bacteria
Description: partial 16S ribosomal RNA
Rfam family: Bacterial small subunit ribosomal RNA
Source: RNAcentral